Molecule: long non-coding RNA, 201 nt
Filed under: Drosophila guanche
Lineage: Eukaryota; Metazoa; Arthropoda; Insecta; Diptera; Drosophilidae
Source: RNAcentral
AAAUAUAAGUUUUUUGUUUCCACGUGCCCGUGUUUCGUUUAUUAAAGAUUUAAUUUACAGGCUAACAGAGGAACUAUGCAGAGUUUUGCAUGGGAAACUUCGUGCCAUUCGCAAAGGCUAAGAGGGUUAGGCGAGGUGAGAUCCCCUGCCUGGGGGAUGCAAUAAGUGCAUUCAAUCUUGAGAAAACCUGCGAGCAGAGAC